GAUAAUUGAAACUCAAUAUUGAAUUCUCAUUCCUUCUAACCCCACAAAAUGCGGAUGUGGAUCAUUCUGGUAAAGGUAUUAGAAAAUGGAGCUCUGUCAUUCAUUCUCAAUGAUUUGUCACCGUGCUUACACUUCUCAUAACCAAUGACAAACUGGCGAACAACUACCCCCACUUCUUCGACAUAACUACCUAAUUACUCCACUUCUAUGAAAAACCAGAGAACCAGGCCAGAGAGGAUAUGAACUACAAAAAGAUAGAGAUGAGAAUGGUGAAAAAUCAGUUUUCUUUAAUGAAAAAAUCAUUGUUGAUGAAGAAGAUCUUUCUCAUGCUGAUGAAGAUACGAUUCAGAUCACAAUGGGGGGUAAAUACAACAACAUUGUAUUGGCUUCAAUACCUAGGUGGAAAUACAAAUUCACGUAUAUCAUCCGCCGAAUUCAAGCCAAUGAAGUAGGACUUGCCGGCAUAAUUAAUCCUAAAAUUUAAAUGGAAUCUCUUCUCUCCCACUUGAAGUGGUUUUGACUCUCCUAUACUGAAGGCUUCGACAUCCUGACGGUACUAGCAACUAGAAUUUGGAGAAAAAGCCUCCGGAUGAUGAUAAAGUUUAUAACUCUGAUCCAAAUUUUGUCGACCUUAAGUAAUGAAAGGUAGUAUCUCACUCAUGUUUUUAUAUGUUUGCUUAACCUUCAUAUAUUUGAUAUACCAGCUACAACCUUCAUGUUUCCCGGCAUACUAGCUGUUAAAAUCCUUACGGACACCCAUAUCUAUAACUAUGUAACUAUUAGAUAGCAAUUGGUACAUCAACAGGUUAAGGGAGUUGUUAUAGUUUUGUAAGAAUAUUAAAAGAUUGAAGACUUGAUUAAAUAACUCAAUAUGCAAGGAUUAUGUGAGCAUAGUUCAAUGUACAGUCUUCACUUUUGUAGGCCAAUAUUGUAUUUAACCUCUGCUUUCCAUGUACCUUUUGCCUCACUGCUUAAUUCAUUGUUAAAUAUUUGACGACGACUUAACAUUUUUACGAUGCAAAACACUGACUCUUCAAGAGUUUAUGACACUCUAAUUUGAUUCACCAUAGUGAAGGGGUUAUACAGUUUCAUGUUUUACUCUGAGCUAGAAUGUCUCUAGGAUGUCUCUUUGCAUCUUCCGCAGCCUAAUUACUUAACCGUAACUAUUGAUGCAGUUGUUUUUGAUAGCCAUUUUCUUAA
Long non-coding RNA from Papaver somniferum (opium poppy), 1200 nucleotides. RefSeq lists it as uncharacterized. NCBI's taxonomy places the organism in Eukaryota, Viridiplantae, Streptophyta, Magnoliopsida, Ranunculales, Papaveraceae. The transcript has 4 exons. The record is from RefSeq and is a predicted model, not a curated record.